Non-coding RNA from Pelobates cultripes (western spadefoot toad), 316 nucleotides. Lineage: Eukaryota; Metazoa; Chordata; Amphibia; Anura; Pelobatidae. The record is from the annotation of a GenBank genome assembly.
CAUAUCAGUACCACGCUUCUGGAGAUAAAAGUUGUUAAACCAGAAGUAGUUAUUGUACAGAUUUAGCUCUAUAGACUCUAAAACAAACUGUUUCUGUAAUUCAGGAUAUUCCGCAGUUUGCAAGAAGAAGGCUGUAGCUUGUAUUCCCAACUCAUGUCGAAUUAUAGUGUACAAAGAGGACAUAUCCACUGUAACUAGCAGGUGUUCUCUUUGCCACUGGACAGUAUUUAGGAUUUGGAGCACAUUGGUGGUGUCUCUCAAAUAAGGACACUUCUGUACUGUCUCCCUUACACACACAGUAAUAUGUACUGUCUCC